RNAcentral lists this transfer RNA (72 nucleotides) under Camelus dromedarius (Arabian camel). It matches the Rfam family "tRNA". Rfam says of the family: Transfer RNA (tRNA) molecules are approximately 80 nucleotides in length. Their secondary structure includes four short double-helical elements and three loops (D, anti-codon, and T loops). Further hydrogen bonds mediate the characteristic L-shaped molecular structure. tRNAs have two regions of fundamental functional importance: the anti-codon, which is responsible for specific mRNA codon recognition, and the 3' end, to which the tRNAs corresponding amino acid is attached (by aminoacyl-tRNA synthetases). tRNAs cope with the degeneracy of the genetic code in two manners: having more than one tRNA (with a specific anti-codon) for a particular amino acid; and 'wobble' base-pairing, i.e. permitting non-standard base-pairing at the 3rd anti-codon position. RNAcentral also lists the same sequence under 1 other name. Lineage: Eukaryota; Metazoa; Chordata; Mammalia; Artiodactyla; Camelidae. The record is from Rfam by way of RNAcentral.
GUGGGUAUAGCCCAGUGGUAGAGUGCCUGCUUGGCAUGCACGAGGUCCUGGGUUCAUUCCCUAGUGCCUCCG